AGGAGGGCUUUUAGUCGGUAGGCGCUCCCACCAGAAGUGAAUCCGACACUACCCCCUUUGGGGGUGUCUUUAGAAGAUUUCCCCUUCU
Molecule: non-coding RNA, 88 nt
Organism: Agrilus planipennis (emerald ash borer)
Lineage: Eukaryota; Metazoa; Arthropoda; Insecta; Coleoptera; Buprestidae
Source: Rfam